Molecule: ribosomal RNA, 252 nt
Filed under: uncultured bacterium
Lineage: Bacteria
Description: partial 16S ribosomal RNA
Rfam family: Bacterial small subunit ribosomal RNA
Source: RNAcentral
UACGUAGGGGGCGAGCGUUAUCCGGAAUUAUUGGGCGUAAAGAGUGCAUAGGUGGUUACCUAAGCACAGGGUUUAAGGCAAUGGCUCAACCAUUGUAUGCCUUGUGAACUGGGCUACUUGAGUGCAGGAGAGGAGAGUGGAAUUCCUAGUGUAGCGGUGAAAUGCGUAGAUAUUAAGAGGAACACCAGUGGCGAAGGCGACUUUCUGGACUGUAACUGACACUGAGGCACGAAAGCGUGGGGAGCAAACAGG